GCUGUCAAUUUCCUGCGUGCAAUGAAUGUGAGCAAUGAUCGUCAACGCUACUGAACAUUCCAUUUGCAGUGUCCGUUAUGUGUACAUGUAGGGUAGUGUAGUGUGCCAUUACAAGGUCUGACCUUCAGCUGGUGCGAGAACUGCUUUGUUCAACGGCAAAGGACACCUCUGCCAAUUAAGUCCACAUGUUUGCCACUCUUUGCGAAAGGUCGUCAUCCACAUAAGACACACUAUUUUCAGGACUUUGAUGUACUGUAGGGACAAUCGAAAGAGACCUCGACCUUCACACGAUGGACGCUAUCCAUGGGACAGGGCCGUGUCACAAACAUCUGUUGCCAAUAUUUAUUUCAGCUUUGGUCGGUAAAUGAUCAGAACCAGUGGCUGAUAGCAUGAACAUCGUCCCUGGAAGACGAUGUAACCACCGACUAUCAUGGGAUGCUGGGACCUCGCGGGAUCAGGAAUCCUCAAGGGAACAUUUAUGAAGAACAGAAGAAAUUGAUACUGUCAAGGCCCUACCAUUAAAAGAGAGAGCAGAACUUUGACCAGCCUGCAUCCUUGACUCUAACAGUGCCCAGGUGUUCGUGAAACCGACCAUCAUGCCCUUCUCGACAAGGGUGUUAUUAAGUUACUAUGAUUGUCCGGAAACUUUGACGUUGUUUUGAUCAGGCAGAAAGGUCGUGGAUAACUGAGGAGAGACGGUGAGCAGCACAAUCUGUCAAGCACGAACAGAUGUGUCGUUGUCCGGAUAACAAGGAUACAGUCAUUGACUAUACGGUAAAAUGAAUAGCUGGACGUCUCCGUUAUGAUCAAACAUGUGAAACCCAGAUUGUUGAAUUAAGUCAUGCGUCUGUCAUGUUAAAUCUGUGAAGUCUUCAAGACGAAUAAUGACUUGGUUUCCCACCGGGUGUGUGAUUUUUCAAUUUAUGUCAAAGUAUAGGAAUGGUAUCAGUCAUAUGCGGAGAACACGUUGCGGCACACGGUUCCCAGAGAAACGCAUUGCUGAUACAUACAAAUCCAGGGAAUAUGUAAAAUAUAUUUGUCCAAAGGUGAUAAAUAUUGUAAAUAUAAAUAUUGAAAGUUCUAAAACCAAAAUGCAUUGAUGUAGUUAGUUAUAUAACAGUAUGAUAGGUUUCAUUCUGUGUUUCUGUGACUUUUGUAACAUUGCCGGGUGUUAAACAAAAUGUGCUAUCUGUUAUUGUUAUUUGUCGUGGAUCCGUGGUCCAAUGGAUAGAGUCACUGCUCUGGUUAUAGCGGUUUGAUUACAUCAAAGAAACAUUUGAUCACUAUCAUCGAAGAUUAAAGUCCUCAUAAAUUUUGUUUUGGAUGAAAUAAACUUCGAUCAGCGGGUAGUAAAACGACAUUAAUAUUCGGAGUUUUACACGCAUGGCAUCACAUCCAGCAUGAAAUAGUUUGCGUUUUGCACUGGUUUUAUUACUGUUUUGUUUUAUAUAGCCGCCAACAAUAAUGUUCCAGUAUAUAGCAUCUCAAGGAGCCACUUAAUAAUUACUUGAUUAAUGGACAGUUUGGGUAAACUCCAAAUAACUAUAUCAUUCAAGCGAACACAUGCAGUCGAUAUGAGUACAACUAAUGUCCAGUCAAAACAUGAUAAAUGUGGGCCAAAUAAACGCUCUGUUCUUCACAGCUGUUCUGCUGGCAAGCUUGUUCAGGGAAUCCAUGUUGAUAACGUCUGGUAAGCUAUUUGACUGAGCAUCAUAUAUGCUUUACAAACAAGUGCAUGUAGUUGUGACUGUCAUGUUUCUGGCGAAAUAG
Molecule: long non-coding RNA, 1770 nt
Organism: Haliotis rufescens (red abalone)
Lineage: Eukaryota; Metazoa; Mollusca; Gastropoda; Lepetellida; Haliotidae
Exons: 3
Source: RefSeq, a predicted model, not a curated record